CCUACGGGGGGCUGCAGUGAGGAAUAUUGGUCAAUGGACGAGAGUCUGAACCAGCCAAGUAGCGUGAAGGAUGACUGCCCUAUGGGUUGUAAACUUCUUUUAUAUGGGAAUAAAACGUUCCACGUGUGGGAUUUUGUAUGUACCAUAUGAAUAAGGCUCGGCUAACUCCGUGCCAGCAGCCGCGGUAAUACGGAGGAUCCGAGCGUUAUCCGGAUUUAUUGGGUUUAAAGGGAGCGUAGGUGGAUUGUUAAGUCAGUUGUGAAAGUUUGCGGCUCAACCGUAAAAUUGCAGUUGAAACUGGCAGUCUUGAGUACAGUAGAGGUGGGCGGAAUUCGUGGUGUAGCGGUGAAAUGCUUAGAUAUCACGAAGAACUCCGAUUGCGAAGGCAGUUCACUGGACUGCAACUGACACUGAGGCUCGAAAGUGUGGGUAUCAAACAGGAUUAGAUACCCGGGUAGUC
RNAcentral lists this ribosomal RNA (460 nucleotides) under uncultured bacterium. RNAcentral's name for it is "partial 16S ribosomal RNA". It matches the Rfam family "Bacterial small subunit ribosomal RNA", at positions 338 to 795 of the family's 1533-position model. The record is from RNAcentral.